CACGUAGGGUGCGAGCGUUGUCCGGAAUUACUGGGCGUAAAGGGCUCGUAGGUGGCCAACUAAGUCAGACGUGAAAUCCCCAGGCUCAACUUGGGAACUGCGUCUGAUACUGGAUGGCUUGAAUUCGGGAGAGGGAUGCAGAAUUCCAGGUGUAGCGGUGAAAUGCGUAGAUAUCUGGAGGAAUACCGGUGGCGAAGGCGGCAUCCUGGACCGAGAUUGACACUGAUGAGCGAAAGCUAGGGGAGCAAACGGG
Molecule: ribosomal RNA, 253 nt
Filed under: uncultured bacterium
Lineage: Bacteria
Description: partial 16S ribosomal RNA
Rfam family: Bacterial small subunit ribosomal RNA
Source: RNAcentral